Molecule: long non-coding RNA, 676 nt
Organism: Stegodyphus dumicola
Lineage: Eukaryota; Metazoa; Arthropoda; Arachnida; Araneae; Eresidae
Source: RefSeq, a predicted model, not a curated record
CAUGAUUAAAAAUACUAUUAUUUUGUAGUGUGAGGAUUUCCAUGCGCUUUUAAGAGAUUCUGAUGAUGAGGUAAGCUAGUUUUAUUUAUUUCCUUCUGUGGCUUAUUUUUACAAUGUAUAGUUUUUUGCCCCACCUAGAAAAAGACUAUUCACUAUUUUUAAUUUAUUUAGUGCCUGAGUGAAACAUCUCAAAUAUUCAUUGAAAAUUAUUUUAGUGAUUCAGGAGAUGAACUCUUAAGUGAAACUUCGCAGAUAUUUUUGGAGAAUCCUUUGGUUUUGCCUCUUUACUAUCAAGUAGGCUCGGGAUAUGAGACUCAACCUUCUGCUCCAUCUAAAGGACCUGCAUAUGUGGAACAUGACAUUUCAGUAAAUAUGGAAAAUGCUAUUAUACUCAAAGAGAAGGCACGGCGUCGUAACCGAAAGUAUCAAGGCGAGGAAAUAACCUUCCAGGCACGUGUUGAUAUGAAUCGUCUGCCUCAAAAUAUUCGCAACAGGCCUCUUCUAGCCGUAACUGAAUCUGUUAGACAGCUGUUUGAAAUAUUAAUUCAACGGUCAACAGAAAAUCUAAGGCCGACAGAUUGGAUACGAAUGUGUAUCCAAGCCGAUGGAUUGGAUAAACCCAUGUCUACGAAAAUUAUUGCCGUAUCUUCCAUGACGGUGGAGACCGUAUUAUCGG